Molecule: ribosomal RNA, 301 nt
Filed under: uncultured bacterium
Lineage: Bacteria
Description: partial 16S ribosomal RNA
Rfam family: Bacterial small subunit ribosomal RNA
Source: RNAcentral
CAGCAGCCACGGUAAUACGAAGGGUGCAAGCGUUAAUCGGAAUUACUGGGCGUAAAGCGUGCGUAGGCGGUUUGUUAAGUCUGUUGUGAAAUCCCCGGGCUCAACCUGGGAAUGGCAAUGGAUACUGCAAGCUAGAGUGUGUCAGAGGAUGGUGGAAUUCCCGGUGUAGCGGUGAAAUUCGUAGAUAUUGGGAAGAACACCGGUGGCGAAGGCGGCGACCUGGUCCAUAACUGACGCUGAGGCGCGAAAGCGUGGGGAGCAAACAGGAUUAGAUACCCCCGUAGUCCCUGUCUCUUAUACA